RNAcentral lists this ribosomal RNA (515 nucleotides) under uncultured Glomus. Its description in RNAcentral is "SSU rRNA". It matches the Rfam family "Eukaryotic small subunit ribosomal RNA", at positions 569 to 1084 of the family's 1831-position model. Lineage: Eukaryota; Fungi; Glomeromycota; Glomeromycetes; Glomerales; Glomeraceae. The record is from RNAcentral.
AGCAGCCGCGGUAAUUCCAGCUCCAAUGGCGUAUAUUAAAGUUGUUGCAGUUAAAAAGCUCGUAGUUGAAUUUCGGGAUCAAUAUUUCGGUCAUGCCGUUGGUAUGCACUGUUAUCAUUGAUUUCCCACCUUCUAAAGAACCGUAAUGCCAUUAAUUUGGUGUUACGGGGAAUUAGGACUGUUACCUUGAAAAAUUAGAGUGUUUAAAGCAGGCUCACGCUUGAAUACAUUAGCAUGGAAUAAUGAAAUAGGACAUCCGAUUCUAUUUUGUUGGUUUCUAGGAUCGAUGUAAUGAUUAAUAGGGAUAGUUGGGGGCAUUAGUAUUCAAUUGUCAGAGGUGAAAUUCUUGGAUUUAUUGAAGACUAACUACUGCGAAAGCAUUUGCCAAGGAUGUUUUCAUUAAUCAAGAACGAAAGUUAGGGGAUCGAAGACGAUCAGAUACCGUCGUAGUCUUAACCAUAAACUAUGCCGACUAGGGAUCGGGAUGAUGUUAAUUUUUUAAUGACUCAUUCGGC